AGAAUUGUUGUUCCCACAUUUGGUUUGGCUGUGCCACACGAGUAAAUUACUCAAAUGCCCUUCGGUAGUAAACUGCCGAAGUUUUUAGGAAACCGGCGGCAGUUAACUGCCGAGGAAAACCUCGGGAGUUAACUGCCGAGGAAAAUGUUAUAAGAACAGAACUGCAUAGGAGUUUCCAAAAUUCCAUUGUUGCGUUUUUAAUUAUCCAAGGUGCGAUUUUGAGUCAUUUGAAGCCAUUACAAGCCAAUUUCAAUCACAAAAACAA
Molecule: long non-coding RNA, 265 nt
Filed under: Medicago truncatula (barrel medic)
Lineage: Eukaryota; Viridiplantae; Streptophyta; Magnoliopsida; Fabales; Fabaceae
Description: long non-coding RNA (MTRU_LNC006101)
Source: RNAcentral